RNAcentral lists this long non-coding RNA (602 nucleotides) under Brassica napus (rape). RNAcentral describes it as "long non-coding RNA (BNAP_LNC001997)". Lineage: Eukaryota; Viridiplantae; Streptophyta; Magnoliopsida; Brassicales; Brassicaceae. The record is from RNAcentral.
UGGCGUGACUAAUUGGUGGUGGUGGCGUGACAAAUCAUUGAUCUCCUCGUUGCCGGUGGCAGAGCGUGAAGGAGGAGCAGAAAAGCUUGAUGGUGGAGGACGAGACAAGACGUGGUCAAGCUGGACUGGUGGUGCUGUUAAACAAAAAAGUGCAAAAACCUAUACCUAUGACCACACCAACUUUGACCAUAAUAAACCUACUUUACCGCUUAAAGCAUCGUUGGACUGGUGGUGCUGUUAGACAAAGAAGUCGCCGGAGUGACCACACCAACUUUGACCAUAACCAAAAAAUGUGCAAAAACCUAUCCCUAUGACCACACCGACUUUGACCAUAAUAAACCUACUUUACCGCUUAAAGCAUCGUUGUACUGCUUUCAACGAGAACUGUCCGAUUUUUUCCUAAAAUAUAUUCAUCUAACGGCUAGCAAAUAAUAUGCAUGUUUCAUGUACUACCAAUUUUUGCCCAUUUAAUUGGGACCAGCCCAUGUAACGACAAUCUCCAAGAAAGUUGCUUAACAUCUUUAGACUUAACCAAGGUUAAAAAGUUGUCCAUCAAAAGGGUUUUUUGGGGAGUAAAAGAGUUAAAGUAAGGAAAAAAGUAC